RNAcentral lists this ribosomal RNA (460 nucleotides) under uncultured bacterium. RNAcentral's name for it is "partial 16S ribosomal RNA". It matches the Rfam family "Bacterial small subunit ribosomal RNA", at positions 338 to 795 of the family's 1533-position model. The record is from RNAcentral.
CCUACGGGGGGCAGCAGUGAGGAAUAUUGGUCAAUGGACGAGAGUCUGAACCAGCCAAGUAGCGUGAAGGAUGACUGCCCUAUGGGUUGUAAACUUCUUUUAUAUGGGAAUAAAAUGUUCCACGUGUGGGAUUUUGUAUGUACCAUAUGAAUAAGGAUCGGCUAACUCCGUGCCAGCAGCCGCGGUAAUACGGAGGAUCCGAGCGUUAUCCGGAUUUAUUGGGUUUAAAGGGAGCGUAGGUGGAUUGUUAAGUCAGUUGUGAAAGUUUGCGGCUCAACCGUAAAAUUGCAGUUGAAACUGGCAGUCUUGAGUACAGUAGAGGUGGGCGGAAUGCGUGGUGGAGCGGUGAAAUGCUUAGAUAUCACGAAGAACUCCGAUUGCGAAGGCAGUUCACUGGACUGCAACUGACACUGAGGCUCGAAAGUGUCGGUAUCAAACAGGAUUAGAUACCCGGGUAGUC